RNAcentral lists this long non-coding RNA (2870 nucleotides) under Homo sapiens (human). Its description in RNAcentral is "non-protein coding MORF4L2-AS1:2". The record is from RNAcentral. Lineage: Eukaryota; Metazoa; Chordata; Mammalia; Primates; Hominidae.
CCCCGAACACGGAAAAAAAAGGCGCAGUGGGGGUUCUGCUGUGUUUGCAAGUGAGGGUCGUGAGUGCAACGGGCGCAAGGCAUUAAGGCCAGUGUGUUAGUGCGCGGGCAGGCUCGCGUGGUGCUGGGGUUGCUGUGUGAGCGGCCCUCGUGGCUCGGGAGGUGCUGUGUUUGCGCAGGCGUGCGCCCCUGGCGUCGGGACUGGGACUCCGGAUUUCUGUGGCGACUGAGGCGCUCUUACCUUUGCGUCCUGAUCUCCAAGCAAGCACACUGACCUUCUUCAGGCAAAUACGCACUGUUAAUUUUCCAGAAAGUUCUGUGAGUAAGGUUUAUACCUCUCGAGUCUGCCACUAGAUGCCGCCAAAUCCCAGCAAAGGAUUGGCUGUUUGGUCCCUGGGAUUCUGGGAUUUUGUUUCCCUCCCCCCUCCCCUUUCUGAUUUGCUGAACGGUAAUAUCUAUAGGCAUCAUGGAUAUCGUUCAUUCCUAGGAAAAAAUAAAAUCAACUUCUGUAAAUAGCACUAGUAGGCAGGGGACUGUGACCCAAGAUCCAAAUAAUUUUGCUCAUUUCUUUCCUUUUCUCCUUGGGUUAAAAAAAAAAAAAGGCCCCUCUCCAUCCCUCUUUUCUUUUGUCCUUGCCUUGUUUAAUCAAAGAGUUAAUGAAUGACGCAAGCACUGAUGCUGAAGAUCCUAACCCUUUUUCCUCACCUUUUCAAAUGCUCGCAACUCACCCAAACUGAAAAUACAGAUAGCUGUUCCGUCAGUAAAGAUAGAUAAGAACUCAUCAGUAAAACCUGGACCCUGGUAUUGAAAACUGAUUUUCCUUUUCUCUUGAAAUUUGUAUCAGAUAUGUGUUUUUGCACCCUAUUUUCUGUAGUGGUAUUGGUAAACUUUAUUGUGUCUUUGGAGUAAGAGAAAGAGACCUAAUUGUAAACCUCAUUCCACCACUUACUAGUCUCAGUACCCUGGGCAAAUGAUUUAUGUUUUGUGAUCCUCAGUUUUUUUGUAUGCUUUCUAUAUUUUAGAUGCUGUGUUAUAUCGUUCACGUUGAUUUUUUUAUUCAUCACCAAGUCCUUAUUAGAUGAGCACUACUGGAUCAAAGUCAAACAACAAAAAUCAUACCCCUUUCAAUUAUCUAUCUUAUAUACUUGUACACCACACAGGAGGGAUUUUUUUAGAGCAGUGGUUCCCAAGGUGUGUUUCCUGGAUGUACCAGAAACAUCAGCGUCACCUGAAAAGUUGUCAGAAAUUCGGAUUCUCAGGUCCCACCUCAAACUUAAUGAAUCAGAAGUUCGCAGGGUGGGGUUUAGUAAUCUGUGUUAUUACAAACUAUCCCAGUGAUUCCAGCACACACUGAAGUUUGAGAGCCACUGCUUUGGAGAGUAGAAAUGCAAUGCAUAUUUUUGUACACACCACUAGAGGGUGCUACAGAAUGUAAAGCAAAAUAAUAAAUGAUGCACAGUAUAUGUUUUCAGACACCCUCUAUAUUAUCAGUCCUAUUUUACAGAUUAAAAACUAAUGUGUAGAUAUGUCAAAUUAUUUUCUUAGUGUACGCAACAAGUAUGGGAACCAGGAUUUGAACUUCACCUGCCUCUAGCCCAAGCCCCUAAUAGUACUCUGUUGUUUAACCAUGAUGACUUGUCUUUCCAAGCCUCAAAAUACAUUAGAAAUAUCUUGUUCCCUGCUUUGGCUAAUGUUGACUGGAGUGUCAAGAAGAGUGCAGGAAAGCAAACCAAGCUGUUGCAACCUCACCAGAACAGCUGAAGAAUGAAUUUCAGCCUGGACUCUACCUUAUUAGUUGGGCACCCUUGGGGAGGGUGCAACCUGCCCAACAUUUUCUGCUGGCCCUGUCUUACCUCAUGACUAAGAGAGCCUUCCUAGGUCUGGAAGGUAGCAGUCAGUCUGUUCUGGAGGGUGGAGAGAGACACCAGUGUUUUCCCAUGGUUUCUGGGUAGUAGAUAAAAUUGGUCUAUUCUAAGGUUAAUUUGAUAUUUUAAAAUUUUGAUUCUGACUAGCUUAUUGGAUUUUUUUGAAUAAUGUUUGAUUAAUGUAAAGGUUAAAAAUAAAACCUAAUAUUUCAGCUAAGCAAAUGGUAUUUCUUUAAUAAGGACGUAUUUCUAUCUAUUUAUACCUGCCUCAUUCCAUAGGAAUUUUAUAAAGCCAGUCCAGGAAUGUAGUCUGAAUCAAUCUAGUUUGCUAGCCUGUGAGACCAGGGCAAAGAUGAAAAUAGUCAUGGGAAAGUUUUAUCCUUUUAGGGGUAUCUGUCUUCUUCUAGUUCCUCUCUCCUCCUUUGACAAAUCCCCACCCCGAGACUGACCUACCCAUUUGACAGAAUGAGAUUACUUCUUCAAAUGACCCAAAACACUGAGAUCCUGAACCUAAUCAAUAAUGUCCUUGGAUGACCUUGGGAUGCCAGAUUCACACAUAAUUCCUUGUUGUCCCCUUCCUGAGUUAAUAGUUUAGCAUACAAUUUACCAAAAUUUGUAGUUUCCUGAGCCACAGACUUCACUUGGAAUGAUCAUAUAAAGUCAUCCAUGCUACAUACCAACCCACAGAAAUGAGGACCGCUUUCCUCCAGUGUAUGCUGAGUCCUACAAUCUGAGCACUGCUUCAAGAGGAUGCCUUGAGUCAUUUUUCCAGAGUUAAAUUUGCUUAUGCUUCUAACCUCCACCUACAGUCCCCGUUACACUGGGAAUGAUAAAAACUAUGCCUUUUGAAAAUAUAAGCUGUCAUGUUAUUAAAGAUGACAAACCAGUAGUAGUUAAAGUGCUGCAUCUAAAUUGUUGAAGCUUGUUACGUGGGAGUUCAUUAGACUGUUUUUCCUACUUUUGUGUAUUUUUGAAGUUUUCCAUAAUAAAACAUUUAAAAAGACAA